CAUGUCAGCCGCAAGGCAGUUGUGAAGGUGCUGCAUGGUUGUCGUCAGCUCGUGCCGUGAGGUGUCGGCUUAAGUGCCAUAACGAGCGCAACCCUUAUCGAUAGUUACCAUCAGGUUAUGCUGGGGACUCUGUCGAGACUGCCGUCGUAAGAUGUGAGGAAGGUGGGGAUGACGUCAAAUCAGCACGGCCCUUACGUCCGGGGCUACACACGUGUUACAAUGGGGGGUACAGAAGGCAGCUACACGGCGACGUGAUGCUAAUCCCGAAAGCCUCUCUCAGUUCGGAUUGGAGUCUGCAACCCGACUCCAUGAAGCUGGAUUCGCUAGUAAUCGCGCAUCAGCCACGGCGCGGUGAAUACGUUCCCGGGCCUUGUACACACCGCCCGUCAAGCCAUGAAAGCCGGGGGUACCUGAAGUGCGUAACCGCAAGGAGCGCCCUAGGGUAAAACUGGUGAUUGGGGCUAAGUCGUAACAAGGUAGCCGUACCGGAAGGUGCGGCUGGAUCACCUC
This 510-nucleotide ribosomal RNA is filed under the name uncultured bacterium. RNAcentral describes it as "bacterial SSU rRNA". It matches the Rfam family "Bacterial small subunit ribosomal RNA", at positions 1009 to 1529 of the family's 1533-position model. The record is from RNAcentral.